CAGCUUAACUGUGGAACUGCCUUUGAUACUGCCGAUCUUGAGUGCGGGAGAGAGAAGCGGAAUUCCAGGUGUAGCGGUGAAAUACGUAGAUAUCUGGAAGAACACCGGUUGCGAAGGCGGCUUCUUGGACCGACACUGACGCUGAGGCGCGAAAGCGUGGGGAGCGAACAGGAUUAGAUACCCUGGUAGUCCACGCUGUAAACGAUGAAUGUUAGAUGUCGGGGGAUUUUUCCUUCGGCGUCAAAGUUAACGCAUUAAACAUUCCACCUGGGAAGUACGAUCGCAAGGUUGAAACUCAAAGGAAUUGACGGGGGCCCGCACAAGCAGUGGAGCAUGUGGUUUAAUUCGAUGCAACGCGAAGAACCUUACCUAGGCUUGAAAUGUGUUCGAUCGGUCGUGAAAGCGACCUUCCUUCGGGCGGACACACAGGUGCUGCAUGGCUGUCGUCAGCUCGUGCCGCGAGGUGUUGGGUUAAGUCCCGCAACGAGCGCAACCCCUACCAUUAGUUGCCACCGGGUAAUGCCGAGCACUCUAAUGGAACUGCCUACGCAAGUAGUGAGGAAGGUGGGGGCGACGUCAAGUCCGCAUGGCCCUUACGCCUAGGGCUACACACGUGCUACAAUGGGCGCAACAAUGGGCAGCGAUACCGCGAGGUGGAGCGAAUCCCUAAAAAGCGUCCUCAGUUCGGAUUGGAGUCUGCAACUCGACUUCAUGAAGUUGGA
RNAcentral lists this ribosomal RNA (722 nucleotides) under uncultured organism. RNAcentral's name for it is "bacterial SSU rRNA". It matches the Rfam family "Bacterial small subunit ribosomal RNA", at positions 605 to 1330 of the family's 1533-position model. The record is from RNAcentral.